GAUGAAGAACAUAGCAAAAUGCGAUAAGUAAUGUGAAUUGCAGAAUUCAGUGAAUCAUCGAAUCUUUGAACGCACAUUGCGCCCGCCAGUAUUCUGGCGGGCAUGCCUGUUCGAGCGUCAUUUCAACCCUCAAGCCCUCGGGUUUGGUGUUGGGGAUCGGCGAGCCUUUCUGGCAAGCCGGCCCCGAAAUCUAGUGGCGGUCUCGCUGCAGCCUCCAUUGCGUAGUAGUAAAACCCUCGCAACUGGAACGCGGCGCGGCCAAGCCGUUAAACCCCCAACUUCUGAAUGUUGACCUCGGAUCAGGUAGGAAUACCCGCUGAACUUAAGCAUAUCAAUAAGCGGAGGA
This 346-nucleotide unclassified non-coding RNA is filed under the name soil metagenome. Its description in RNAcentral is "partial contains 5.8S ribosomal RNA, internal transcribed spacer 2, and large subunit ribosomal RNA". The stretch from base 1 to 120 matches the Rfam family "5.8S ribosomal RNA", at positions 35 to 154 of the family's 154-position model. The record is from RNAcentral.